AGCAGCGCAGUUAUUAAAGAUCUAAAGUGGUGUUGCGCGCGCAAAACUGGGGUGUGAGAGGGGUAAGUGAGAGGGCCCCCUCGCAAUCGGGGGGGGAAGGCAGAUCCCACAAACCAAAAAGGGGGGUGGGCCGGAAAUAAGGGGGCAUCAAACAUGGGUUGUAAUCCUCGCUUUUCCCCACCCUUAACGGUGGUAACUUCCUUGUCGGCCCUCAGACCUUUCGGGGUGCUAGCGAAUGACAUAAGUUGUCCUCCUGGGGAGUACGACCGCAACGUCUCAACUCAAAAGAAUUGGACGAGCGCCCGCACACGCGGAGGAACAUGUGGUAUAAUUUGUACGAUACGCUGGAGACCUUUCCCCGGCUCGAACCGGGCAAGAAUUUUUCAGAGAUUGUACAAUCCUUCCGCACAUGUAUCGAGGUGUUGCGGCGUCGUCGUCAGCUUGUGCCGUGAGGCGUCGGGGUAAUUGUCCUAACGAGGGCAACCCUUGUCAUUAGUUACCAUCAGGUUAAGCUGGGGACUCUAGUGAGACUGCCACCGUAAGGUGUGAGGAAGGGGGGGAUGACGUCAAAUCAGCAUGGCCCUUAUGUCCGGGGCGACACACGUGUUACAAUGGGAGGUACAGAGAGCAGCCAGUUAGUGAUAACGCGCCAAUCUCAAAAACCUUUCUCAGUUCGGAUUGGAGUCUGCAACUCGA
This 696-nucleotide ribosomal RNA is filed under the name uncultured bacterium. Its description in RNAcentral is "partial 16S ribosomal RNA". It matches the Rfam family "Bacterial small subunit ribosomal RNA", at positions 1 to 1315 of the family's 1533-position model. The record is from RNAcentral.